RNAcentral lists this ribosomal RNA (468 nucleotides) under uncultured bacterium. Its description in RNAcentral is "partial 16S ribosomal RNA". It matches the Rfam family "Bacterial small subunit ribosomal RNA", at positions 28 to 507 of the family's 1533-position model. The record is from RNAcentral.
GACGAACGCUGGCGGCGUGCUUAACACAUGCAAGUCGAACGGAAAGGCCCUGCUUUUGUGGGGUGCUCGAGUGGCGAACGGGUGAGUAACACGUGAGUAACCUGCCCUUGACUUUGGGAUAACUUCAGGAAACUGGGGCUAAUACCGGAUAGGAGCUCCUGCUGCAUGGUGGGGGUUGGAAAGUUUCGGCGGUUGGGGAUGGACUCGCGGCUUAUCAGCUUGUUGGUGGGGUAGUGGCUUACCAAGGCUUUGACGGGUAGCCGGCCUGAGAGGGUGACCGGCCACAUUGGGACUGAGGUACGGCCCAGACUCCUACGGGAGGCAGCAGUGGGGAAUAUUGCACAAUGGGCGGAAGCCUGAUGCAGAAACGCCGCGUGCGGGAUGACGGCCUUCGGGUUGUAAACCGCUUUCGCCUGUGACGAAGCGUGAGUGACGGUAAUGGGUAAAGAAGCACCGGCUAACUACGUG